CCUUCACAUCUCUUCUCCUCUCCCACCUACAAGUAGCACCCCAUUAUACAUAUAUCAAGAAAAAUAAUAAAAACCUAAGCCCCUCAUGGGGGUGCCUGGGUGGCUCAGUGGGUUAAGCC
Long non-coding RNA from Lontra canadensis (Northern American river otter), 119 nucleotides. RefSeq lists it as uncharacterized. The record is from RefSeq and is a predicted model, not a curated record. The transcript has 3 exons. Lineage: Eukaryota; Metazoa; Chordata; Mammalia; Carnivora; Mustelidae.